Molecule: ribosomal RNA, 253 nt
Filed under: uncultured bacterium
Lineage: Bacteria
Description: partial 16S ribosomal RNA
Rfam family: Bacterial small subunit ribosomal RNA
Source: RNAcentral
UACGUAGGGUGCAAGCGUUGUUCGGAAUUACUGGGCGUAAAGCGCACGUAGGCGGAUAUUUAAGUCAGGGGUGAAAUCCCGGGGCUCAACCCCGGAACUGCCUUUGAUACUGGGUAUCUCGAGUCCGAGAGAGGUGAGUGGAAUUCCGAGUGUAGAGGUGAAAUUCGUAGAUAUUCGGAGGAACACCAGUGGCGAAGGCGGCUCACUGGCUCGGUACUGACGCUGAGGUGCGAAAGCGUGGGGAGCAAACAGG